AGCUUAAACUGCAAAGAGAGAAGAGAAAGCAUGAGAGAGACAGCAAAGAAAGUCAUCCAUCUCACUGACCUCAGAGAUGGAUAACCUGCUUCAUUCUUUACUGAAACUGUGGUGGCAGCAGCAUUGAGGAUGGAACUGGAGAAAGUAAUCUAUUUACCAAGGAAUCAUCAUGUUCCCUGCAGCUCCUCUUGCAGUGCUGCAAAUACUCCAGGAUCAUGCACCCUGUGCUUGCAAUGCUCAUGACAAUCGAUGCUUCUGCAGAGAUGGGGACAGCGGGGAGAGAUGCCUAGGUUUGUGCGAUUUUUGAGAUGCAGAAGAAAUUAUGGGAUGGAGAACGCUGCAUUAUGGGAUGUUGACCCCAUGCUUCCAGUAACCCCUGCAUGACUCAUUUCAGCCCCAUCAGAUAUUGAAAGAACUUUCCAAAAGAUGCUGUGCUGGAUCAUGAGUACAGUGAAGGCAAAGUGAAUCAUUGACAUCAUCAAUAAAGAAAAGGGCACAGUGUAGAGACUUUCAGUCAGGAUGACAACAGUGAAUCAACCCCCUCAUUCCAAAAGUACUCAUUCAGUACCCCUACAGUGUGAUCCAGGGUACUUGGUUUCAGAAGGUUACCA
Mauremys mutica (yellowpond turtle) is the source of this 611-nucleotide long non-coding RNA. RefSeq lists it as uncharacterized. Lineage: Eukaryota; Metazoa; Chordata; Testudines; Geoemydidae. The transcript has 3 exons. The record is from RefSeq and is a predicted model, not a curated record.